RNAcentral lists this ribosomal RNA (226 nucleotides) under uncultured bacterium. RNAcentral's name for it is "partial 16S ribosomal RNA". It matches the Rfam family "Bacterial small subunit ribosomal RNA", at positions 111 to 334 of the family's 1533-position model. The record is from RNAcentral.
UAACGCGUGAGGAACCUGCCUCAAAGAGGGGGACAACAAGUUGGAAACGACUGCUAAUACCGCAUAAGCCCACAGCUCGGCAUCGAGCAGAGGGAAAAGGAGUGAUCCGCUUUGAGAUGGCCUCGCGUCCGAUUAGCUAGUUGGUGAGGUAGUGGCCCACCAAGGCGACGAUCGGUAGCCGGACUGAGAGGUUGAACGGCCACAUUGGGACUGAGACACGGCCCAG